This 450-nucleotide ribosomal RNA is filed under the name uncultured bacterium. RNAcentral's name for it is "partial 16S ribosomal RNA". It matches the Rfam family "Bacterial small subunit ribosomal RNA", at positions 354 to 796 of the family's 1533-position model. The record is from RNAcentral.
GUGGGGAAUAUUGGACAAUGGGCGAAAGCCUGAUCCAGCCAUGCCGCGUGUGUGAAGAAGGUCUUCGGAUUGUAAAGCACUUUAAGUUGGGAGGAAGGGCAGUAAGUUAAUACCUUGCUGUUUUGACGUUACCGACAGAAUAAGCACCGGCUAACUUCGUGCCAGCAGCCGCGGUAAUACGAAGGGUGCAAGCGUUAAUCGGAAUUACUGGGCGUAAAGCGCGCGUAGGUUGUUUUGUAAGUUGGAGGUGAAAUCCCCGGGCUCAACCUGGGAACUGCCUCCAAAACUGCAUGACUAGAGUACGGUAGAGGGUAGUGGAAUUUCCUGUGUAGCGGUGAAAUGCGUAGAUAUAGGAAGGAACACCAGUGGCGAAGGCGACUACCUGGACUGAUACUGACACUGAGGUGCGAAAGCGUGGGGAGCAAACAGGAUUAGAUACCCUAGUAGUCC